GGAGGAUUAGCUCAGCUGGGAGAGCACCUGCCUUACAAGCAGGGGGUCGGCGGUUCGAUCCCGUCAUCCUCCACC
RNAcentral lists this transfer RNA (75 nucleotides) under Priestia megaterium. RNAcentral describes it as "Bacillus megaterium tRNA-Val". It matches the Rfam family "tRNA". From Rfam's summary of the family: Transfer RNA (tRNA) molecules are approximately 80 nucleotides in length. Their secondary structure includes four short double-helical elements and three loops (D, anti-codon, and T loops). Further hydrogen bonds mediate the characteristic L-shaped molecular structure. tRNAs have two regions of fundamental functional importance: the anti-codon, which is responsible for specific mRNA codon recognition, and the 3' end, to which the tRNAs corresponding amino acid is attached (by aminoacyl-tRNA synthetases). tRNAs cope with the degeneracy of the genetic code in two manners: having more than one tRNA (with a specific anti-codon) for a particular amino acid; and 'wobble' base-pairing, i.e. permitting non-standard base-pairing at the 3rd anti-codon position. Lineage: Bacteria; Bacillati; Bacillota; Bacilli; Caryophanales; Bacillaceae. The record is from RNAcentral.